Symphalangus syndactylus (siamang) is the source of this 1367-nucleotide long non-coding RNA. RefSeq lists it as uncharacterized. NCBI's taxonomy places the organism in Eukaryota, Metazoa, Chordata, Mammalia, Primates, Hylobatidae. The record is from RefSeq and is a predicted model, not a curated record.
AUUGGCUACAAUAAGAACAUCCUCUGCAUCAGAGAGGGUUCAACAUUAACAACAAUGUCUGUAAAAACAGAAUCACAGCUGUCAAGAAGAGCGCUAUCUGCAUAAUUGCUUAAAGAUUUUACUGCAAAAUUAAUAUCCUUGCUGUGAACAAGGGAACAAGGCAAAAACCAGGAUGACAGAGCCUGAGAUGAGGUGAAAAGCAAAUCCAAUUUUUCCUUGCACCAUAGAAAUCUCGUCAGGACUAGCUUUAUCUGCUGCUAAUCUUUUUCAACAUGGAUGCUGCUGCUAAAACCUUCUAGACAGACAAAUUAGAAAAAGAGCCCUGGGUUCCUGAGGACUCGAGAAAAAAAAUAAGAAGAAGAUGGAAAAUUGCCACAGCCACCCCAGCCUUCAGCAACCACCAUCCUAAUCAGCUAGCAGACAUCAGCAUCAAGGCAGGACCCUCCAACCUCCGGCAGGAAAAAGAAUACCACUUGCUCAAGGCCCAGAUGAUCGUUAGCACGUUUAAGCAAUAUUUUUUAAUUAAGCUGUGUCUUUUGAAAACAUACUAAAUCAAGCAGACACAAAUUAGAAGAGUUUAACAACACAGCCUGAAAAUUUUGUGGACUGUUUAUAAUUAGAGUCCUAACCUGAUGCAGAACGUUCUGUCAUGAGACCUUGGAUCAGUCGCUCUCUUAGAGCAGCUUAUGUUCUAGUAAUAUUGUCCCCUGCCCCCUACACUUGGAAAUAUAUGCCUCUGCCAGUCAGCCCUCUGCUGGAGUCUCAGAAAACAAUUAUGGAAAGGGAUAUGCAUGCAUAUUUCAAAUGCACACACUUAUAACCCAAUAUUACAUUUAUAAAGGCAUAUAUAAACUAAGAACCUUGUCCAAACUCAGUGAUGUACGGGUCUACUCUGUGUACCUAGAGAGACUUGGAGGCUUACUCUCUUUUACCAAAGUCUCUCUCUUUGGUAUUUUAUCUUCAGGAGUUUGAACUCUAUAAUGUACUCCACUUGCUGCCAUUUACAGAAUCCAUGUUUCCAAGUUGAUUAUUUGAUGUUUCUUCAACUGAACACUCCACUUUUUUCCCAUCAGUACCCAAGUAAAUACACUGUCAUCUAGGGAUGUCUUCCUUCAAUUAUCUAAUGCCCUUUGCUGGCACAUAAUGACCUAAGAAUGAGGGAAGAAACAGGGCUUUCAAUAGCACUACCAAUUUUUUUCUCUUACUCUCAAUUGGCCCCUGCUGUUAAGAAACUAUCUAACUUCCCUUUUUCAUCAUUAAUAUAAUGUAAAAGUGGAAUUAAUUAAACCAUUUUUGGUAAAACCAUAAAAUAAAAUGCAGCCAACCAAAACUAUGUCAUAGAUAAAUUUUGUUAUAACCUAAAUGAA